ACGCUGGCGGCGUGCCUAACACAUGCAAGUCGAGCGAGGAGAUCCUCGGGAUGAUCCUAGCGGCGGACGGGUGAGUAACACGUGGGCAACCUGCCUCAUAGAGAGGAAUAGCCUUCCGAAAGGGAGAUUAAUACCUCAUAACAUUGCAGUUUCGCAUGAAACAGCAAUUAAAGGAGCAAUCCGCUAUGAGAUGGGCCCGCGGCGCAUUAGCUAGUUGGUGAGGUAACGGCUCACCAAGGCGACGAUGCGUAGCCGACCUGAGAGGGUGAUCGGCCACAUUGGGACUGAGACACGGCCCAGACUCCUACGGGAGGCAGCAGUGGGGAAUAUUGCACAAUGGGGGAAACCCUGAUGCCAGCAACGCCGCGUGAGUGAUGACGGCCUUCGGGUUGUAAAGCUCUGUCUUCAGGGACGAUAAUGACGGUACCUGAGGAGGAAGCCACGGCUAACUACGUGCCAGCCGCGGC
This 467-nucleotide ribosomal RNA is filed under the name uncultured bacterium. Its description in RNAcentral is "bacterial SSU rRNA". It matches the Rfam family "Bacterial small subunit ribosomal RNA", at positions 33 to 518 of the family's 1533-position model. The record is from RNAcentral.